GAUCCUGGCUCAGGAUGAACGCUGGCGGCGUGCCUAAUACAUGCAAGUCGAGCGAACAGACGAGGAGCUUGCUCCUCUGACGUUAGCGGCGGACGGGUGAGUAACACGUGGAUAACCUACCUAUAAGACUGGGAUAACUUCGGGAAACCGGAGCUAAUACCGGAUAACAUGUUGAACCGCAUGGUUCAACAGUGAAAGACGGUCUUGCUGUCACUUAUAGAUGGAUCCGCGCCGCAUUAG
Molecule: ribosomal RNA, 240 nt
Filed under: uncultured bacterium
Lineage: Bacteria
Description: partial 16S ribosomal RNA
Rfam family: Bacterial small subunit ribosomal RNA
Source: RNAcentral